UGACCCCGUGCGGGAGAGUCGUCCGGAGCCCAUCCGGAGGACGCCGAAGGAGCAAAUCCUCCCCGGAAUCUCUCAGGCCCCCGUACCGCACGGACGAG
RNAcentral lists this non-coding RNA (98 nucleotides) under Streptomyces sp. RNAcentral's name for it is "Glycine sequence". It matches the Rfam family "Glycine riboswitch aptamer". Rfam says of the family: This family represents the bacterial glycine riboswitch. Glycine riboswitches usually consist of two metabolite-binding aptamers domains with similar structures in tandem. Lineage: Bacteria; Bacillati; Actinomycetota; Actinomycetes; Kitasatosporales; Streptomycetaceae. RNAcentral also lists the same sequence under 1 other name. The record is from RNAcentral.